GACGAACGCUGGCGGCGUGCUUAACACAUGCAAGUCGAGCGGUAAGGCCCUUUCGGGGGUACACGAGCGGCGAACGGGUGAGUAACACGUGGGUGACCUGCCCUCAGCUCUGGGAUAAGCCUGGGAAACUGGGUCUAAUACUGGAUAUGACUCCACGGUGCAUGUCGUGGGGUGGAAAGCCUUGUGCGGCUGAGGAUGGGCCCGCGGCCUAUCAGCUUGUUGGUGGGGNGAUGGCCUACCAAGGCGACGACGGGUAGCCGGCCUGAGAGGGCGACCGGCCACACUGGGACUGAGACACGGCCCAGACUCCUACGGGAGGCAGCAGUGGGGAAUCUUGCGCAAUGGGCGAAAGCCUGACGCAGCGACGCCGCGUGAGGGAUGACGGCCUGGUGU
RNAcentral lists this ribosomal RNA (393 nucleotides) under uncultured bacterium. Its description in RNAcentral is "bacterial SSU rRNA". It matches the Rfam family "Bacterial small subunit ribosomal RNA", at positions 28 to 422 of the family's 1533-position model. The record is from RNAcentral.